GGGAGCAGAUAGGUGCUGGUGUGCCUCCCGGUCUUCAAAACCGGUGCGGACGGCGAACAGCCGCCUGGAUGAGUUCGAUCCUCAUAUGCCCCC
RNAcentral lists this transfer RNA (93 nucleotides) under Dysosmobacter segnis. Its description in RNAcentral is "Selenocysteine transfer RNA". It matches the Rfam family "Selenocysteine transfer RNA". Lineage: Bacteria; Bacillati; Bacillota; Clostridia; Eubacteriales; Oscillospiraceae. The record is from Rfam by way of RNAcentral.